ACAGAGGGUGCGAGCGUUAAUCGGAUUUACUGGGCGUAAAGGGCGCGUAGGUGGUAAAGCAAGUAAGAUGUGAAAGCCCUGGGCUUAACCUGGGAAGUGCAUCUUAAACUGCUUAACUAGAGUAUGGUAGAGGGUAGUGGAAUUUCCGGUGUAGCGGUGAAAUGCGUAGAGAUCGGAAGGAACGCCAGUGGUGAAGACGACUACCUGGACCAAUACUGACACUGAGGCGCGAAAGCGUGGGGAUCAAACAGG
Molecule: ribosomal RNA, 252 nt
Filed under: uncultured bacterium
Lineage: Bacteria
Description: partial 16S ribosomal RNA
Rfam family: Bacterial small subunit ribosomal RNA
Source: RNAcentral